Molecule: long non-coding RNA, 5351 nt
Organism: Anas platyrhynchos (mallard)
Lineage: Eukaryota; Metazoa; Chordata; Aves; Anseriformes; Anatidae
Source: RefSeq, a predicted model, not a curated record
AAGUCCUACAGUGAAAACAGGAAAGAUGAAUGAUGACACUAACCAGUGAAACAAAACAAAAGGCAAAAAUACCCAAAGACGACCAAAAAAAAGCCCCGUUUGGAAGGAAACUCAACACAAAGGUUUCCCCCAACCUCCUUGUUGUUUUUUUUUUCUCCUUAAUACACUACGAAGAGCACAAAGGGCAUACGUAGGAUUUCUUUCCCUUUGGGACCCGACUGCAAACCACAUAAUGGCAAAAGACGCUCAAAUAAGUUGGCCAGGAGGCUGGAGCAAAUGCCUGGCCCUAAUGGAAAUGCCUCAGCCCCGUUGUUGAUCCCAGGACCUCUGUUUCUUCUCAAGGAAAGCUCCAGCUCUCCAGCACACCCAGGGAACUGCUGCUUUAAAUUUUACCAGCCUUUCCUUUCCACUUUCGAAUUACAAAGGACACUUUCUGAGGUCUGUGGUGGUUUAGGAUCCUCACAGUCUAAGGAAGCUUUCUGAAAAUCCAAAUCCAGUAUGUUCAACUUAUCUCCAUCCUUGUUACCGCCCUCAAGGAGCUGUGGCAGGCUGAUGAGGCAGGAUUGCCCCUUGUGGACACGGAGGUGACUCUUUCCCUUGACAUCCCGUUUGUCCGUGUGUCCUUACGGCUCUGCUGCCACCGGGGGGAUGGAAAUCAGGCUCACCAGCCUGGUGCCUGGUUACCUAUUUAUUUUAAGUUACCUAUUUAUUUAUUUUAAAUAUCUCGUGUUGAUAAGACCAUUGUGAAACUCCGUAUCCACGUGUGGGAUUCACUUGGGGCGUUCUCUCCCAUUGCAACACCGACCUAACCCUAACGGUGCUGUGGUUGUUAUCACAGAUCUGCUCGCCUAUUAACGCCUCCUGAGAUUGUGCCCAUUGCCUCUCGUCCUUUCACUAUCACUGAGAAGAAUUUGUCUCUGGCUUCUUUCCCUUGGCUUGCUCAGGAGGCCUUCAGCCAGAGAAAUCAACGUUUUUAUCAUCAUCACAGCCUGCUCUGGUUAAUAUUCGGGACAGCCAACAGGUGAAAGCAGAACCAUUUUAAGACCUGGUGUGCAUGACCCUAGCUGAGAUCCCUGAGGAGGAGAGCCCUGGACGGCUGCCCGCCCGGAUGGCCUCUCCGAAACAAGCCUUCGGCCACCUUCCCACGAGAGGACGUUGCUCACCAAGCAACCACCCCAUCUCUACCUUCAGUUCUCAAGGAAGACCUACAGGAACAGAAACUGCCUGCGGGGUCCCUCCCUUUGGCCAACGCUUUGACAGAAAGCAGUAACAGUCCUGUGAACCAGGCUGAUGUGUUACAUGCAGCCUCCUCAGCCAUUAUCCACCCAAGGGAAGGAGAAACAAGUUGCACUGGGUGGAUGCUGGGGCGUUUGAGGAGAGGCUGUCAGUAUUGGAACUGAGCAGAUGGUCGAGUUUCGUGUCCUGCAGGGAUUAACACUUGGUGAUGUCUGAACGACACAAACUGGUCCGGCUCGUAGCUGGGGAUCGCUGAGCUGCAGGUGAUUUACCUUUGAGAAAUGGUGAAUCAGACACGUUACAGUGCUGGGAAGAUGUUGGACAAAGGAAAGAGCCAGGAGAACACAGAGAAGUGUGGAGUCACUGCUUUCAGUUAAACAGAACAUACAUGAAGGCCAAGAUCUUCUACGAAGAUACUGUCCUUCUGGCAGAGUGACUCCAAAUGCUAUUCCCAGGAUCCUGGAAAGCCUGAAAAUGUAAGGAAUAGACACCCCUCCAGCAUUAUCUCCUUUUAAACCUCAGGCUGUCUGCUCCAUCCACAGAGGCAUUCUGGAAGACCAGUUAAACCCAACACCAACAGAUCCCCAACCAUUACUGCAUUUCACGUCAAAUCUGGACAAGCAAACCGAGUCCUUAGCUAAACAAAUUGUGCCACACCAGCAAGAGUUGAUCAUUUUGUAAAUCACACAGCAUAACUCUGAAAAAAACAAGGAGAACUGACUCAUGUUGUGAAACUGAGGGAUUUACUUACUGUCAAACUACUGGAGCUCGGUCAGUGAAGCACCGCUUCGUGAGGCAGGUAACAGGACCUACACUUCCCAAAACUGUACGUGGGGACCAAGAAAAUAGGUUAGGAAGUCAGUGCAAUGAAUAAAAAGUGAGCUGAUGUUUGAUUAAACAUUAAUCUGAUGAGAGAUGACAAAAACCAGAAUUCCUUAAAUUAGACUUAUUCCAAGCUGAUCUCACUGGAGGCCUCGCUCGCUGUUCUGAAACCUCAUUUUGGCAUAGGAGUGCACAGAGCAUGAACACACACAUGCUCAUUAUCUGAGUACAUUUGCAGGCUAUAAUUCUAGCAAACAUUAGAUUAAAUAAAAGUUCCUUGAACUUUGAAACAAAGAAAAAAGCCCGGACUUCUACUGUAAUUAAAAAUUUUGGAAACAGCCUUCAGUUCAAGCCCCAUGUUAGCCACUGGUGUUCAUCAGCUGCCACAAGGCCUCGAACCAGCACCAUAAAUGGGAAAACUUCCAGUUCUGUAACAAAAUGUCUAGCAGGAUGGAGUAGUCCUCACACAGGCUGACAUGAUUUUUAGUAAGAUAUUUCAUUUUUAUUUGUGCUCACUAUAGAAGCUGUUCUUGACAGCUUAGACCUAUGGGUGUCUCCAGACCUCAGUGUCUCUACCAAACAGGCAAGGCCAGCACUCAGCCUCCAAGGAGACAACGAUAUGGGGAAGAGCACACAGCAUUUCACACAGCCUCCAGAAGUCAGCUAUCUUUAUUAUUUAGUUCUGUUUCAAUGUGUAUGCUUCAUUAAGCCGCUACAGCUGCCUUCAUGCCUGUUUAAGCAUUUUUAGCAACCUUUAGGCAUUACUGCCUUCACACCGCGCCACUUUCAACAAGAAAACUUACCUGCCAGAGGUUAUAAUGUUACCUGAAAAAGUCCUCUCACUAGGGAAGGUGGCUUAAUGAGAAUUUCACCUUCUGCAGGUCAUAACAAAUUAACUACGAUUUUCUUCUUGCUUUGCAUUAAGAGAAUGUCAUCUAUUCUUUUUUUUCUUUGGCAAUGGAAAAUGAGAUAUUUUUGCAUGUACUUGAUCCUUCAUCUGCAUUCCUGCCUUCUGAUAUUUAGAUAAUCAUAAUUUAAUAGAGCAGAAAUAGUGUUUUACAAGGAGCUUCUGCCCACAGUUGGUUAAACAUCUGAUAACCUAUGUGCAGCAGGAUUCUUCUAUAAGAGGAACCAGCACGGCUUCCCCACGAGCAGCUGUUAAUGCAGGCACACAUUCAAACAUGCAGUUGUCCGAAAUAGCAGCGCUGCAGACACUGAAAGUCAAGAAGGGCCAGCUCGGGUUGCAGGACUAUGAAACGGGGCAAUCACAAGCCGGUGAAAUCCUUCUCCCUGCUAAGAGGCUAUUGCUGCUCCCUCCUUGCACUUCUUACAGGCACUGGGAUUGGCUUCUAAGCCGUGAUUCAUAACGGUAUCACCCUGCUCUGCCUCCCCUGCUGCUGUCCUGGCUCAUUGCAUUUCCCUCCUAUUUUCUGCAAACCAUGCCACCCAACAAAUUCUGCUCUGAACGUCUCUUCAUUUUUACCCAGAAGGUAGCUUUAAAUCGCAAACUGAAAGAACACAGCACUGGCAGACACAGGAGUGACUUGCUCAUGCUUUGACUUCAGCAGAAAUUCUGAUUUUUCCUUUUCAGUUCUGGCAAUUUCCAAUAGAUUUCCGAUACCCUUGGCACUAAUGAAGAACAAUAAUUGUCUCAUCACAGCCAUUAGGUAAUAUUGGUUGUUUAAUGCUUAGCUUAGUGGUUUACAAACUCUGAAUACCUACAGUAGAGAUUUUUCAGGGUUCUGCACACAAACUGCCUCAGCUGCAACAUCAGAGCAUCAGUUCUGCUUUGCGUAAGAGCACAGACCGCACCAGGUAAUCUCACUGUCAAUCUGAGACUUCGAGUUUUCAUCUCGGAUUUCACUGGCAGCAUGACCCUGGGAACACUUCGCUCAGCAACAAACAGUAAAGAACUACCAAGAAGUUGCAUUUGUUUCCCACUAAUGUAUAUGUUAAGUGUCUGUCUUUGAAGUAUUUUUCAUCUCUGCACAAAAGAUGCCAGGAAGCACUAAUUCAGCUGAAAUACUCAAAUACUUUUAAGACAAUACAUGUAUCAUACCACCUGCAAGUGUUUGUACAGAAUUAUCUCUCCUGUCACCAUAAACAAUUUUUAUAAUAUGAAGAGUUUUGAGAUUUAUGAUGAUUCAAGAGUAUUUCAGCACUUACCAUGUUUACAGAGAACUCGGGGUUAUUAAACUGUGCAGUGCUUGAAUUCUUCUAGACAGUCCCAACAUAAGGAAUGAGAAAUGUAGUAACAACUGGCAACCAUUUCUGCAAGAUUAUGGAUCACUUACCGAAUUUCAUGAAGUGUUUCCCAAGUAACCAAUUAACAAAGAUUAAUGUUGAAAUGGAAGAAAACAGAACGACGGAAAAGCUUUCUAACGUAAGAAUUCUCAGAUAAUUUAAGACUUACUUUAAUCACCAAUUCAAAUGCGAAUCAAGUGACAAUUUAACAAAGAGCUGGCUUCAGAAACAGGAACAAUGUCAGAAACAACUGGCUUCAGAAAUUACCUUGUGUGUCAGCUGAGGAAGAAAUCAGUUCUGUUAAAAGGCAACUUUGGGUAUCAUGAGGCAAUUGCAUCUAAGCAGAUCCAGUCACAGCCUUUAAGAUACUUGAUCUCACUUUAUUUCCAGGUUAAAGUGCAUGUUGAUUUAAGUAUUUGCUAGACUUGGAAAUUCUGAAUAUAAGAGGCAGCAUUACACAACGAUGUUACUGAAUUUCUGAGCAAAUUACUUAAUUUGCAUUUCUCUGACACCUUAUGACCAAAAAUAUUCUGGUUAGAAAAAGAUCUACCUAGCUAACGAGCCCCUCUACAAUACACUGGUGAGUUGAUCAUUUCUCCAUACUCAAGAAAUGAAAAGCAGGUUGAGAGAUUAGCUGACCAACGCAAAACUCAAUCUCCAGAUCAGCUGCAGACCCAGGAACUUCGUAGGUCUUCUGUUUCGAUACUUCAAACUGAAACCAUGUUCCUCCUCUUAGCUUUUUGUGCUGAUACACCUCACAGUGCCAGAGCAUGUCUAGUAUGAAAUACUGUGCAGUAGUCAUACUGCCUCCACUUUGCACUCCAGUUGACUUUAUCUUGCUCACCAACUUGUCUUGCAACACUGUAAAAAAAUCACUUAAUCACUCCAUAAUUGUUUUUUUUUCUUACUUCCUUCUGCUGUUUUAGUGUGAGAAUACCUUGAGCGAAAAAAACUGUCUUGGAUCUGGAAAGUGCCCACCAAAAUGGGCUUCCUUGAUCGAGGUACCUGGAUAUAAUAACAAACAAUAAAGGAAAUCUUACUGACCUGCA